This 254-nucleotide ribosomal RNA is filed under the name uncultured bacterium. RNAcentral describes it as "partial 16S ribosomal RNA". It matches the Rfam family "Bacterial small subunit ribosomal RNA", at positions 524 to 776 of the family's 1533-position model. The record is from RNAcentral.
UACGAAGGGGGCUAGCGUUGCUCGGAAUCACUGGGCGUAAAGCGCACGUAGGCGGCUCUCUAAGUCAGGGGUGAAAUCCUGGAGCUCAACUCCAGAACUGCCUUUGAUACUGGGGAGCUUGGGGUCCGGGAGAGGUGAGUGGAACUGCGAGUGUAGAGGUGAAAUUCGUAGAUAUUCGCAAGAACACCAGUGGCGAAGGCGGCUCACUGGCCCGGUACUGACGCUGAGGUGCGAAAGCGUGGGGAGCAAACAGG